CCUACGGGAGGCAGCAGUGAGGAAUAUUGGUCAAUGGGCGCGAGCCUGAACCAGCCAAGUCGCGUGAGGGAAGACGGUCCUAUGGAUUGUAAACCUCUUUUGUCGGGGAGCAAAAGACGCCACGCGUGGCGUUCCGAGAGUACCCGAAGAAAAAGCAUCGGCAAACCCCGUGCCAGCAGCCGCGGUAAUACGGAGGAUGCGAGCGUUAUCCGGAUUUAUUGGGUUUAAAGGGUGCGCAGUCGGGAGAUCAAGUCAGCGGUAAAAUUACGAGGCUCAACCUCGUCGAGCCGUUGAAACUGGUUUGCUUGAGUGAGUGAGAAGUAUGCGGAAUGCGUGGUGUAGCGGUGAAAUGCAUAGAUAUCACGCAGAACUCAGAUGGCGAAGGCAGCAUACCGGCGCUCAACUGACGCUCAUGCACGAAAGUGUGGGUAUCGAACAGGAUUAGAUACCCGAGUAGUC
Molecule: ribosomal RNA, 459 nt
Filed under: uncultured bacterium
Lineage: Bacteria
Description: partial 16S ribosomal RNA
Rfam family: Bacterial small subunit ribosomal RNA
Source: RNAcentral